AUCGCGCGCGCCAUUUCUCUCCUAAAACCCUUCUUCCCUCCUCUCCCAAAUCGCGCCUCUUUUAGUCCACAAUAACCGACUGAAAGUCUCUCUCUCUCUCUCUCUCUCUCCAACUCUCUCUCUCUCUCCAACGUCUCUCGAUCUCCCUCUUUUAGUCCACCAACCGACUGAAAGUCUCUCUCUCUCUCUCUCUCUCUCUCUCUCUCUCUCCAACGUCUCUCGAUCUCCCUUUUCCACUCCGGUCUCUCUUGAUAUGGCUUCCAUUUCCAUUGCUUGUUGAAGAUGCUUAUCUCUCGGCCAUUGCCCGGCGAGAAGGCCCGCAAGAGGAAGAAGCACCAGAAACAGCCGCAGCAGUAGCUCCUCUUCUCCAACAGCCGCAGCAGGACAACACUCUCCACAUGGGCAGGGACAACACGCUACUUGUUUGAUGAAAUGCUUUAGCCAAAUCCUUUUUUGGAUGAAACCGUGCUAUCAAUUGGACUUGAGACCACCUUUCUCAAUUGGGAUCAGCGACCAAGUCAAUGUUAUAAAGACAACUGGUCUGGAAAUCUAGGAAGAUAUAGUGUUCAUGGUGGAUAUGUUUGUUGCAGGCAUUGGAACUGGUGAAACUAUUUCUGGCGUUGGCUAUUUUCUGAAAGACAAAAAUCCUAACAUAAAGGUAUAAUAUGAUGAUGUAUUUUAUGGUCGGAGUGGCUUUAGGAACGAUUCCAGGGCUGGCCCACCAUGAGCUGAGUUGGUUUGAGGCCUUUCCAGGCCAAUUACAUGAAUGUCCAAACAGGACAGGCUGGGCCAACUUGUCAGGCCUUUAGGGUCCUUGGACGCAUUGUUGACUGUCUUGAAUACCUGCAAUGUUCGUUUCCUCAAAAACCAAUUGGAUUUGUUUUUGGGGUCUCUCCUAUUUGUUACCUAAAUCAUCGAUUGAGUCCCAAACCAAUGAUUGCAGGUGGCAUCCAAACACAAAUAUACAAGCAGCAAGACAGAUAUAUUUGUUGUGGGGAAUGUAACUGGUGGAACUAUUCUGAUGUUUGUUCAUUUUCUAAAUAAAAAAUA
Molecule: long non-coding RNA, 1050 nt
Organism: Magnolia sinica
Lineage: Eukaryota; Viridiplantae; Streptophyta; Magnoliopsida; Magnoliales; Magnoliaceae
Exons: 4
Source: RefSeq, a predicted model, not a curated record